RNAcentral lists this ribosomal RNA (498 nucleotides) under uncultured bacterium. RNAcentral's name for it is "partial 16S ribosomal RNA". It matches the Rfam family "Bacterial small subunit ribosomal RNA", at positions 28 to 507 of the family's 1533-position model. The record is from RNAcentral.
GACGAACGCUGGCGGCGUGCCUAAUACAUGCAAGUCGAACGAGAGCGACCGGUGCUUGCACUGGUCAAUCUAGUGGCGAACGGGUGAGUAACACGUGGGUAACCUGCUCAUCAGAGGGGGAUAAAAUCCGGAAACGGAUGCUAAAACCGCAUAGGUCUUCGAGCCGCAUGGCUUGAAGAGGAAAAGAGGCGCAAGCUUCUGCUGAUGGAUGGACCCGCGGUGCAUUAGCUAGUUGGUGAGGUAACGGCUCACCAAGGCCGUGAUGCAUAGCCGACCUGAGAGGGUGAUCGGCCACAUUGGGACUGAGACACGGCCCAAACUCCUACGGGAGGCAGCAGUAGGGAAUCUUCCGCAAUGGACGCAAGUCUGACGGAGCAACGCCGCGUGAGUGAAGAAGGUUUUCGGAUCGUAAAACUCUGUUGUUAGAGAAGAACAAGUGCUAGAGUAACUGUUAGCGCCUUGACGGUAUCUAACCAGAAAGCCACGGCUAACUACGUG